This 515-nucleotide long non-coding RNA is filed under the name Elaeis guineensis (African oil palm). RNAcentral describes it as "long non-coding RNA (EGUI_LNC009954)". The record is from RNAcentral. Lineage: Eukaryota; Viridiplantae; Streptophyta; Magnoliopsida; Arecales; Arecaceae.
GCAGCGCAUGGGUGCAUUUGCGAGUUUACAGGCUUUGCAUGAGUUCGGGCAUGAAGCAGGCGCGGGCAUGGUUUCAGCAACGAGUGGGCGAAGCGAGCAUGCGGUGUGCAUGCAGAUGCGAGCAGUUUAAACCACUUCAGACUCAGAUUGGGCUUGUACAGGAGCUUGGGAUGUGGUGCAGUGCCUGGGACAUGCGACAUAGAGAGGGGUUUAGGGUUUUAAAAGAAAAUAAAAAGAGAAAAAGAAGCAUAGAUGGCUAGUGUUUAGGGAUGCCUUAACUUCUUCAUGCACCUCCAUCUCUCUUCCUUUCUGUCCACCAUCCUCUGAUCUCUAUAAUAAAUCUGAACCAUCCAUCCUUAAGAAAUGCUAGCCAACCAUCUCUAUUUCUUAGUCCCACAUUGCGAAAUCAGAUAAUUGGUGCUUCCCUACACCUAUAUAUAAGUCCCAACCCUCUACCUAGAAAGUAUGGAAUAAAUCCUCUUCUUUAGAAUUCCAGCAAGAAGGGUGAAGGGAGC